AUCAACCUCGACGUGAACCUGUCCGCUCAUUUGUGUGCGUGCGGCCAAGAGAUCCUAAGAAUAUGUAGAAAUCCAUAUAUUCAGUUCAACACACAGAAGCCUUAUAUACCUCCUGAUGGUUCUUCUUCAAAAAGACCAGCUCCUCCUUCAGCCCUUCGAUCUGCACGGUGAGGUCUUUACUGCUGAGGUUGAAGUCAUCAAGCACCCUCCUCAGCCCGACAAUGUCUGCUUCCACAGACUGACGCAUGACAUGCUCGGUUUCAUAUCUGUCAUGCAGCAACAUUGACUUUAGAAACACCCACACUGGACAUUAGACAAUAUACUGCGAGAAGACCACUUCCAAACUGAGCAUGUCACCCUGAAAACCCUAACAUACCUUAGCCUGAAGAUCCUUUAUGGUGGCAAAGUAGGAGGUGUAAUCACGAGCAAUAGGAGAGGCUUUGCCAUCAAGGAACUGACGGAUCUUCAUCUCCAGGUCCGCGUUGGCCUUCUCCAGAGAGCGAACCUUGACCAGAUGUCGACGCGCUGAAACCCCCUAGAGAGGAAAGAGAGGAUUUGGAGAUCCGGACCCCUGACCCUCCUGCACCACCGUACACACUGCCAGAC
Molecule: long non-coding RNA, 606 nt
Organism: Pimephales promelas (fathead minnow)
Lineage: Eukaryota; Metazoa; Chordata; Actinopteri; Cypriniformes; Leuciscidae
Source: RefSeq, a predicted model, not a curated record